CGUUAGUUUAGGUGCUUCCAUAAACCAAUACAAGACACCGCGGUGUGUGAAAUUAACACCCCUUAUUGAGCUAUUGAAUUCGAGGGUCGUGUCCAGCCACUUCAGUCAAACAUGUCCAAAUUGGAUUCCUGGCCACAAGCAAUGGAACAACAUGAAUUGAAUAUCCAAUUUCGAUUUCUUCUACUGGUAGUUUCUUUCCCUAUGCAGAAAAAGAACAACUAUCUUUGUAAAUUACUAUAGCAUUGGAAAAGAGUGAAGCCUGGUACACCUAUCUAUAUUAAUACUUCAGUUUAGAACUUUAUUAUCUCCUUUCUCUUCUAUUUUCCUGAAAUAAAUAUCUGCCUUUCGGACAAAUCUUUAAACUGGACAAAACAAUAUUCUCAUUUUUUUUUAAAAAUAUCCUUUAACUAUGCCAGGCCAUAAAUAUUACACAUUAUACUACCAAAGGACCUGGUGUAGUGGAUAGGGAAAGGACUUGGUGUAGUGGAUAGGGCUGCUCCUCCUUUAAUCAAAGGUCCGAGUUCCAAUCUUGGGUAUAGAAAAAUACUUGAUAGGGAGCACUAUCCCCGAGUAGGGCCUUAUCCGGUGCGAACCCGGAUAUAGUCGGGCUCCAAUGCGGGUACGGAACACCCCGGGUGGAAAACCAAAAAAAAAUAGCAUUAUAUGUCCAACCUUGUGAAGUAAUAGGGAUCGCGGUUCUCAAUCAACAUUCUAAAUUGUGUUCUCUAUGCUAUAUAAGACACUGCAUAUUUAGGAUUAAGCCCAACAUAAUCCACAAUUUUUGAAUUUUAACUUAAAAUGAUUCUAUUUAAUUUUCAUGAAGCACUAAUACACCACAGUAUUUGACAAAAUGGAAACAAAGAGGAAAUAGAGAGGAACUUCAUUACAGUGAUCUUUAUCUUCAACGAUUUUCAGUUACGAACUGAUGAAUAGUUACUUGAAAAGACUACUUCGAUGUGAAUUCGCCGGCGCCGGCGCUUUUUCUUCCGCCGGCGUUUACGUUUCUUACUGCCGAAAAAAUUUCGGAACUCGUUUCGGUCCAGCUUGUCGCUGAAGGGAUGACGUGAAUCGAAGUGAAAUGAUGAUAAACUAUGUGACGAUUUGCUUCACCGACGGCGAGGAGAGAGGAUUAGAGAAGUGUUCGAUGAGAUAUCCCCUACUUUUGAUUCGCCAUUGAGAGUUACAAACGAUUUACCAUAAAGAC
This 1204-nucleotide long non-coding RNA is filed under the name Nicotiana benthamiana. Its description in RNAcentral is "long non-coding RNA (NBEN_LNC020396)". Lineage: Eukaryota; Viridiplantae; Streptophyta; Magnoliopsida; Solanales; Solanaceae. The record is from RNAcentral.